UACGUAGGUGGCAAGCGUUGUCCGGAUUUACUGGGUGUAAAGGGCGUGCAGCCGGGAAGACAAGUCAGAUGUGAAAUCCCGCGGCUCAACCGCGGAACUGCAUUUGAAACUGUUUUUCUUGAGUACCGGAGAGGUCAUCGGAAUUCCUUGUGUAGCGGUGAAAUGCGUAGAUAUAAGGAAGAACACCAGUGGCGAAGGCGGAUGACUGGACGGCAACUGACGGUGAGGCGCGAAAGCGUGGGGAGCAGACAGG
This 253-nucleotide ribosomal RNA is filed under the name uncultured bacterium. RNAcentral describes it as "partial 16S ribosomal RNA". It matches the Rfam family "Bacterial small subunit ribosomal RNA", at positions 524 to 776 of the family's 1533-position model. The record is from RNAcentral.